UACGUAGGGUGCGAGCGUUAAUCGGAAUUACUGGGCGUAAAGUGUGCGCAGGCGGCCUUGCAAGUCGAGUGUGAAAUCCCCGGGCUUAACUUGGGAAUGGCGCUCGAAACUACAGGGCUCGAGUGUGGCAGAGGGGGGUGGAAUUCCACGUGUAGCGGUGAAAUGCGUAGAGAUGUGGAGGAACACCAAUGGCGAAGGCAGCCCCCUGGGCCAACACUGACGCUCAUGCACGAAAGCGUGGGGAGCAAACAGG
This 253-nucleotide ribosomal RNA is filed under the name uncultured bacterium. RNAcentral's name for it is "partial 16S ribosomal RNA". It matches the Rfam family "Bacterial small subunit ribosomal RNA", at positions 524 to 776 of the family's 1533-position model. The record is from RNAcentral.